GGGGUCCCUUUACCUUUACCUUGCCCCGUCUUGCACAAUCAAUCACUAGUCCUGCUGCACACCAUUUGAAUGGAAAUGCCUAUCAAUUUUUUUGGGGGGGGCAGUCCCCUCAAAUAUUUUGUGGGGAGCAAAAGGACCUCAGCACCUAGGAGUUGGCCCCUAUGCACACACCAUUUGAAUGGCAAUGCCUAUCAACUUUUUUUGGGGGGACAACCCCCUCAAAUAUUUUAUGGGGGGUGAAGGGACCACAACCACUAGGAUUUUGCUCUAUGCACCCUGAGAACCUUUUGCCCCCAAACCACAUGGAUGCUGCGUAUCAACUACCGUAUUGGGGUGAGGGAGAGAUUUGGCUCGGCUGCUGACACAUCAGCUGACAGUUUGUGCCAUGCAGUGAUGUGCAAGUGGCGCUGAAGUCAGUGGGACUAGCGAACAUGCUGAGGCAUGUGCCAUCUUGGGAGCAGAGCGUAGCUGAAAGGGCGGCUUAGUUUUGAGUAGUAACCAUGCGUUGAACCAGGCUGCUUGCACAUGAGUUAUGACUUGGGAAGUUCCCACUCAAGUCUCAUCCAUAAACCCAUAAGGGGAUCUUAGGCAAGCAGCCACUGUUGUUAUGGGCUCCUCCCCAACCCACUGGCACUACGAACACAAACAGUUUUGUUUCAACCUCAGUUUCCCUACCUGCAAUAUGGGGAAUGGUAAUAUUGAUUUGUCUUACAGGUUUGCUGUGGAUCGCAACUGUGAAGUGCUUUGAGUGUUGGAAAGCGCUAUAAGAAUAUGAAGCAUAAACACUGAGGAAAUGUACAUUGAGCACUCAAAACGGCAACUGGCAGUGCUUUUUUCCCCUAAAAAAAAUGUUUAGGGGUACUCUCAUUUUCCUACUCAUAUUGAAAUACUGCCCCUCAAUGAGGCCAAACUUAGAUACACAAAACGUUUAGGGUUAUGUGUACCUCUGCGUCCCCCCAGAAAAAAAGCACUGGCAACUGGUGCUAUAACAGUAUUAUAUGGCCUCCAUCUAUUGGGGACGCGGGUGGUGCUGUGGGUUAAACCACAGAGCCUAGGACAUGCCGAUCAGAAGGUCGGCAGUUCGAAUCCCUGCGAUGAGGUGAGCUCCCGUUGCUCGGUCCCUGCUCCUGCCAACCUAGCAGUUCAAAAACAUGUCAAAGUGCAAGUAGAUAAAUAGGUAUCACUCUAGCGGGAAGGUAAACGGCGUUUCGGUGUGCUGCUCUGGUUCGCCAGAAGCGGCUUAGUCAUGCUGGCCACAUGACCUGGAAGCUGUACGCCGGCUCCCUCAGCCAAUAAAGCGAGAUGAGCGCCGCAGCCCCAGAGUCGGCCACGACUGGACCUAAUGGUCAGGGGUCCCUUUCCCUUUAUGGCCUCCAUCUAAAAACUGGCUCACAUAGAACUAGCAUAGCAGAGUGGCUAAGGUUAUAGUUCCAAAAGCAUUUACUCAGGACUAGGAGUAAAUUCCAUUAAAUUAUGUGGUUUAUUGUUUGUUGUGACGCAUGAUGUAAAUGUGCUAUAAACCGGGCAGUCCACUGUCCAAAUAUCCUGUUGUAAACUUACUUCAGAAGCCAGUAUCUCUGUUUCAUCUAAAUAUGGGGAUGAGAAUAAUACUGACCUACCUUAAAGGGCUGUUGUAAGAUUUAAUAAAAACAUAUGAGAAGCACUUAGAACACCAGUCUACAGGGCUACAGACAUGCUAAACGUUGUUCUCAAACUCUCCUUGUAGCACACAUGGCAAGUUAAGACAAAGAUUUGAUUUGCGAUGUUUCUCAUUUUUAUUGCAAAGCAACCGUACGAACACAGUGUUCAUGUGCAGUGAAUUUCACAAACGUGUAAUGCGAGUUCUGAUCAGAAAUCUCAUCUCGGCCCAGAGUUUUGCAAUCUGCAUUUCAUUACUUCACAGUUUGUUCAUUUCUAAGUAUUUCAGAAGCUAGAAUUUCAACCACGGAGUAUGUGAUUAGUCAUGGUCACAUCAAGUGAAGCAUUUUAGUGGCUUAACCACAUGCUGUGAAAAGUGGUGUAGUUGGCAGAGUAUUGGCCUUAGACUGAGGAGGGCAAUCUCAACUUUCAUUUGUAAAAUGGGGAUAUUAAUAAUCUAUCACCUAAGGCUGUUGUAGAAAUGAAAUAAAUACCAUAAAGCACUUUCAACAUUAAUGCAGCGCUCUAAACAUAAUGAAAUGAAAAUUAUGAAUGUAAUGUAUGCAAAGUACAGUAUACUAAAAUAAUCAACCCUAAAAAAGCAGUGAGAAUUCAGACAUGAUUUAUGCCAAAAUAUAUGAGUUGUUGUUUUUUUUUAAAUGCAGGUAUAAUCAAUACCCUCUGUUCUCUUCACAGGGCUACAAUUCCAAGAGUUCCUUGGGAAGAGGGACUGACUGUUAAAUCAUUUUGAGAGCUGUAGCUGUGUGAGAGAAAUUGGCGUCUCCCAACAACUCUCAGCCCCUUAACAAACUACAAUUCCCAGGAUUCUUUGUGGGGAAGCCAUGCCUGUUGAAAUGGAAUGAAACCGCUUUAUGUGUACGAUGCUGACAACUGUGAGGAAGCCACAUGGA
Podarcis lilfordi (Lilford's wall lizard) is the source of this 2549-nucleotide non-coding RNA. The record is from the annotation of a GenBank genome assembly. NCBI's taxonomy places the organism in Eukaryota, Metazoa, Chordata, Lepidosauria, Squamata, Lacertidae.